AGAGUCGAUUGGACAGUCGCUGCUGCAUGGUUUCCAUGUGGGGGAGGAAAGUCCGGGCUCCAUAGGGCAGAGUGCCAGGUAACGCCUGGGAGGCGCGAGCCUACGGAAAGUGCCACAGAAAAUAACCGCCUAAGCGCAUCAGCGCCGGUAAGGGUGAAAAGGUGCGGUAAGAGCGCACCGCACGGCUGGCAACAGUUCGUGGCUAGGUAAACCCCACUCGGAGCAAGACCAAAUAGGAAUCCAAGGCGUGGCCCGCGCUGGAUUCGGGUAGGUCGCUUGAGGUACUCAGUGAUGGGUAUCCCAGAGGAAUGGCUGUCCUCGACAGAACCCGGCUUACAGAUCGACUCUCUCC
RNAcentral lists this RNase P RNA (352 nucleotides) under Pseudomonas knackmussii. RNAcentral describes it as "RNase P RNA component class A". It matches the Rfam family "Bacterial RNase P class A". From Rfam's summary of the family: Ribonuclease P (RNase P) is a ubiquitous endoribonuclease, found in archaea, bacteria and eukarya as well as chloroplasts and mitochondria. The record is from RNAcentral. RNAcentral also lists the same sequence under 2 other names. Lineage: Bacteria; Pseudomonadati; Pseudomonadota; Gammaproteobacteria; Pseudomonadales; Pseudomonadaceae.